Molecule: ribosomal RNA, 301 nt
Filed under: uncultured bacterium
Lineage: Bacteria
Description: partial 16S ribosomal RNA
Rfam family: Bacterial small subunit ribosomal RNA
Source: RNAcentral
CAGUCGCCGCGGGAAUACGAAGGGGGCUAGCGUUGUUCGGAUUUACUGGGCGUAAAGCGCACGUAGGCGGGCUUUUAAGUCAGAGGUGAAAUCCCAGGGCUCAACCCUGGAACUGCCUUUGAUACUGGAAGUCUUGAGUAUGGAAGAGGUGAGUGGAAUUGCGAGUGUAGAGGUGAAAUUCGUAGAUAUUCGGAAGAACACCAGUGGCGAAGGCGGCUCACUGGACGACUGUUGACGCUGAGGUACGAAAGCGUGGGGAGCAAACAGGAUUAGAUACCCCUGUAGUCCCUGUCUCUUAUAU